Molecule: ribosomal RNA, 600 nt
Filed under: Salmonella enterica subsp. enterica serovar Newport
Lineage: Bacteria; Pseudomonadati; Pseudomonadota; Gammaproteobacteria; Enterobacterales; Enterobacteriaceae
Description: partial 23S ribosomal RNA
Rfam family: Bacterial large subunit ribosomal RNA
Source: RNAcentral
UACAAGCAGUGGGAGCACCCUUUGGGGUGUGACUGCGUACCUUUUGUAUAAUGGGUCAGCGACUUAUAUUCUGUAGCAAGGUUAACCGUAUAGGGGAGCCGUAGGGAAACCGAGUCUUAACCGGGCGUUAAGUUGCAGGGUAUAGACCCGAAACCCGGUGAUCUAGCCAUGGGCAGGUUGAAGGUUGGGUAACACUAACUGGAGGACCGAACCGACUAAUGUUGAAAAAUUAGCGGAUGACCUGUGGCUGGGGGUGAAAGGCCAAUCAAACCGGGAGAUAGCUGGUUCUCCCCGAAAGCUAUUUAGGUAGCGCCUCGUGAAUUCAUCUCCGGGGGUAGAGCACUGUUUCGGCUAGGGGGCCAUCCCGGCUUACCAACCCGAUGCAAACUGCGAAUACCGGAGAAUGUUAUCACGGGAGACACACGGCGGGUGCUAACGUCCGUCGUGAAGAGGGAAACAACCCAGACCGCCAGCUAAGGUCCCAAAGUCAUGGUUAAGUGGGAAACGAUGUGGGAAGGCCCAGACAGCCAGGAUGUUGGCUUAGAAGCAGCCAUCAUUUAAAGAAAGCGUAAUAGCUCACUGGUCGAGUCGGCCUGCGCG